UCAGUUAUGAGUGUGCAAGGGAGAUUUUCCCAACAGUGGUAUCAGAGCCGAUAGUUUGGUUGGUAAUGCUUCCGCUGGAGGGGGAGUGAGUGAGAGAAAAAGGAAAAAAGAAAAAAAAAGGAGUGAGAGGGAAAAUCAAAUAUCGAGAGAAAAAAAAGGAGAGGGGAGACUCUAAAGAGAAAAAGGAGAACAAAAAAUGAGAAAAAAAAAUGAGAGAAAAGAGUCAAAUACCCAGAGCGAAAAAGAUAGAGAGAAAAGAGUCUGAGUGUCCGAAAAAAAGAACAGAAAGGAAAGAAGAAAGAGAGAUUAAGAGAGUUUUAAUCUUGCAAAAAACGUUUUUCUAGGUCAGUUUUUUGGCCAAGAGAGUGACGUAGGCCGCAGGCGUACAAGGGAGACGUAGGCCGCAGGCGUACAAGGGAGACGCAGGCCGCAGGCGUACAAGGGAGACGCAGGCCGCAGGCGUACAAGGGAGACGCAGGCCGCACGCGUACAAGGGAGACGCAGGCCGCACGCGUACAAG
Molecule: long non-coding RNA, 520 nt
Filed under: Vigna radiata
Lineage: Eukaryota; Viridiplantae; Streptophyta; Magnoliopsida; Fabales; Fabaceae
Description: long non-coding RNA (VRAD_LNC007046)
Source: RNAcentral